ACUCAUACCUGGCAGGGGAGAUACCAUGAUCAUAAAAGUGGUUUUCCCAGGGUAAGGCUCAUCCAUUGCAUUUGGGGUGUGCUGAUCCCUGUGAUUUCCCCAAAUGCGGGAAAGUCAGCUGCCUAAUUUAUGGUAGUGGGUGUCAUGGUUUAGGUUAUUAAGGCUAA
RNAcentral lists this small nuclear RNA (167 nucleotides) under Pogona vitticeps (central bearded dragon). RNAcentral describes it as "U1 spliceosomal RNA (ENSPVIG00000023180.1)". It matches the Rfam family "U1 spliceosomal RNA". From Rfam's summary of the family: U1 is a small nuclear RNA (snRNA) component of the spliceosome (involved in pre-mRNA splicing). Its 5' end forms complementary base pairs with the 5' splice junction, thus defining the 5' donor site of an intron. The record is from RNAcentral. Lineage: Eukaryota; Metazoa; Chordata; Lepidosauria; Squamata; Agamidae.